AUACGGAGGGUGCAAGCGUUAUUCGGAAUCACUGGGCGUAAAGGACGCGUAGGCGGGUUGGCAAGUCAGAUGUGAAAUCCUACAGCUUAACUGUAGAACUGCGUUUGAAACUGCUAACCUAGAGUAUGGGAGGGGGAGAUGGAAUUAGUGGUGUAGAGGUAAAAUCCGUAGAUAUCACUAGGAAUACCGAAAGCGAAGGCGAUCUCCUGGAACAUAACUGACGCUAAGGCGUGAAAGCGUGGGGAGCAAACAGGAUUAGAAACCCUAGUAGUCC
This 274-nucleotide ribosomal RNA is filed under the name uncultured bacterium. Its description in RNAcentral is "partial 16S ribosomal RNA". It matches the Rfam family "Bacterial small subunit ribosomal RNA", at positions 523 to 796 of the family's 1533-position model. The record is from RNAcentral.